CUUUCAGCUUUACAUUGAGGUAACAGGCUGUCACUAAAACUUAAAUAGUAUGAUUGGUCUUAUUUAUCUAAUUCGUGGUGGUCUAGUUUAUGAACACCUGAAAGAGCACUUUUUCUGAUUAAUGUCAGCUUUGAGUUUAGGUUGUAUCUGAGAUUCCUUAGUUGCUCUUAUUUACCCUUGGAGGUAUUUCUCUCAGCAAUAACCAAU
This is an unclassified non-coding RNA of Fukomys damarensis (Damara mole-rat), 207 nucleotides long. The record is from Ensembl. NCBI's taxonomy places the organism in Eukaryota, Metazoa, Chordata, Mammalia, Rodentia, Bathyergidae.